UAUAAUUAUUAAGAAACAAGAGCUCUGGUGAAAUUGGGCUGCACAAGAUUUUUUUAAAAGAAAGUGAAGUCCAAGAUCUGAAUGUUACUGUGAGCCAUUGUUGAGGCAAAGAGCAGUAAGUGGCAAUAUAAGUAAGGGUGAAGAGGUAUUAGCUGUGCUAUAUUGUCAAGUGAUAACACACAGGCUGACUUUUCAGCACCUUGUGAGUAAGCUGAAAAUGAAACAGUCUACAGGUGGGAGCCUUAAUGAAUGGCACUGUCAGGAGAUAAUUUCUCAUGGUUGAAGAAAUCUUUUAUUCUGCAGGGAAGUGAAGUAACCUGGCAUUAUGGGCCUGUGCCAGAUUCCGCUGCAGACAAUGGAGCGAUUUCAGAGGCCACUGCGUCUGGAAGGAAGAAUGACAACCCACAGUUGGCUCAAAUGAGUCCCCCCAUUGCUCACUGCUGAUGCAAUGCAGCAGCAAAGUCCUUGGAGUUCCCCACUGCAAUGACAGUUCACCAGCUGGCUCCCUCUACUUGCCCUGGGACACAGACCCCUGCUCAUCAAUGCUGUUUCCUGAAGUGCUUUUGAACUGCAUAAGAAAGAAGUUAAAGGAAAUACAGAGAAGAUGGGAAGAAGGCUGGGCUCAGUGUCAAGGAGAGCUCUAAUGGGCAGGAUGACUAGAUAUCUCCAGAGGUCCUUUACAAAUCCUUCAUGUCUCCUUCUGGCCUUCCUUCCUCAGCCCUGGAGCCUUCAGAAGGGGGAGCUUUUGCCUGUGCUGCCAAGAAGCCCAUAAUCAUUUCCAUGCCCAGCUGCAGG
This is a long non-coding RNA of Chiroxiphia lanceolata (lance-tailed manakin), 795 nucleotides long. RefSeq lists it as uncharacterized. The transcript has 3 exons. NCBI's taxonomy places the organism in Eukaryota, Metazoa, Chordata, Aves, Passeriformes, Pipridae. The record is from RefSeq and is a predicted model, not a curated record.